GGGCUCCACUCAGCACUUCAGCAGCACCACUACUGCACCAAAUGAAGUAACAGAGACAGAUGUCACCCGAAGCCCUCCAGAUGGGUGGUGGGCCCAUGUCGGCCAUGCUUUCUGACUCACAGGGUUUGGGGAGAGUGUCCAGGGAGGAGCAGGCUGGAGUGCCAGUGGAGGCAGGUCUGCCUGUCAUUCACCCUCUUCCCCACGCGUGGACGAUCCCUCCAAGAACCUGCUUUCCAGGGUCAUCCGUCGGGGCAGAAGAACCCGGCUAAAGACCCAGAAGUUUUGAGGCCCUAUUGGGCUGUCAGCACCAUGGACAGCAAAACAGCCCUUGAGCGGCUGCCCAACAAAUUUGCUAACAUCUUGGACUCCGUUUUCCCUGUUUAAGAGAGAUUGACACAAUGAAGCUUGCCUAAGAAAUGCAACCAAUUGUUUUCUAAUAGUAAAACACAAGGUAUAGGGGUGGGAGUUGGGGGAUAGUCAAUGUGGUCCCGGCAGCGGAAAUAAAUGUGUUUCUUAUCUGUAUCCUCCAGCUGGUUCCAGGCUCUUCUCCUCUGACAUUAUUAAAAGCCUGGCAGGUACUUUGAAUGUUUGUUUC
RNAcentral lists this long non-coding RNA (595 nucleotides) under Callithrix jacchus (white-tufted-ear marmoset). RNAcentral's name for it is "lncRNA (ENSCJAG00000074123.1)". The record is from RNAcentral. Lineage: Eukaryota; Metazoa; Chordata; Mammalia; Primates; Cebidae.